RNAcentral lists this ribosomal RNA (433 nucleotides) under uncultured bacterium. RNAcentral's name for it is "partial 16S ribosomal RNA". It matches the Rfam family "Bacterial small subunit ribosomal RNA", at positions 29 to 507 of the family's 1533-position model. The record is from RNAcentral.
AACGAACGCUGGCGGCAUGCCUAACACAUGCAAGUCGAACGAGACCUUCGGGUCUAGUGGCGCCCGGGUGCGUAACGCGUGGGAACCUGCCCUUAGGUUCGGAAUAACUCCCCGAAAGGGGUGCUAAUACCGGAUAAUGUCUUAGGCCCAAAGAUUUAUCGCCUUUGGAUGGGCCCGCGUUGGAUUAGCUAGUUGGUAGGGUAAAAGCCUACCAAGGCGACGAUCCAUAGCUGGUCUGAGAGGAUGAUCAGCCACACUGGGACUGAGACACGGCCCAGACUCCUACGGGAGGCAGCAGUGGGGAAUAGUGGACAAUGGGCGAAAGCCUGAUCCAGCAAUGCCGCGUGAGUGAUGAAGGCCUUAGGGUUGUAAAGCUCUUUUACCCGGGAUGAUAAUGACAGUACCGGGAGAAUAAGCUCCGGCUAACUCCGUG